RNAcentral lists this ribosomal RNA (224 nucleotides) under uncultured Sphingomonadaceae bacterium. Its description in RNAcentral is "partial 16S ribosomal RNA". It matches the Rfam family "Bacterial small subunit ribosomal RNA", at positions 1 to 255 of the family's 1533-position model. The record is from RNAcentral. Lineage: Bacteria; Pseudomonadati; Pseudomonadota; Alphaproteobacteria; Sphingomonadales; Sphingomonadaceae.
UAGUGAGUUUGAUCCUGGCUCAGAACGAACGCUGGCGGCAUGCUUAACACAUGCAAGUCGAACGAGACCUUCGGGGUCUAGUGGCGCACGGGUUGCGUAACGCGUGGGAAUCUGCCCUUAGGUACGGAAUAACUCAGAGAAAUUUGUGCUAAUACCGUAUGAUGUCGAAAGACCAAAGAUUUAUCGCCUAAGGAUGAGCCCGCGUAAGAUUAGCUAGUUGGUAA